UACAGCAUCUAUCUCUCUUAGUUGCUCAGGGCCUUACUAAAUUGCUGAGACUGGUCUCGAACUUGUGAUCCUCUGCUUCCGCCUCCCAAACUGCUGGGACUACAGCCAUGCACCACCAUGCCCAGCUCUUUGAAAAUCUUAAUGCUGUCUCCAUUUUACACAUGCAAGCCAUCAAUAAUACUUCUGAUGAGGCUACCUUCAAAAUGUGUCUAAGGGGCUAGGGUGAAGCUGUAACUCAUGGUAGAGCCCUUGCCUAGCAAGUGCAAGAUCCUGAGUUCCAUCCCCAACAUUGCAAAGAAAAAAAGAGUGUGUGUGUGUGUCUGUGUCUAACUGCUUCUCACCACCCUGAGUACAACCUCCUACUGGUCACUCUGCUUCUACCUUUGUCCUGUUCCUAUCUGUUCUCAAAAGGCAGCUGCAGGGAGCCUGUUGAAACCUAGGUCAGCUCAGUCCCUCCUCUCUCAAAAUUCACCAAUGGCUCCCAAGUGAGCCCAGGCCCCACAAAGAGCCCCAUGAUAUGGCCUCUCACUCCCCAGACCCCUCUCCCACUUUUCUCCCUCUCAUGCUAUGCCCCAGGCACACUGGCUGUGAGGUUCCCCAGGCACAUCUGGAAUGCAGUUGCCUCGGGGACUUUGCACUUACUGCUCUUGCACAGGAAUGCUCCGUCCCCUAGGAAUCCCACGUGGUUCCGUCCCUCCCUGCUUCAAGUCUUGGCCCAAAGUUCACUUUUCAGCGAGAUCUUUCCUACCUUCAAUAAAACUAACCCUCCCUGUCACUCUGCAUCCCCACUUCCCUUUUCUCCUUCCUGCUUUCUUUUCCUCCAUAGCACCUUUGACCUCACCCACUGUAAAAUUUGUUCACCUCUCACUUAUUGCAUAUCCCCUCCCACUCUAUGAAGGCAGGCCGGGGUUUGUGCCUGUUUUGCUCACCAGUACAUCUCCAGAGCUGCUGUAAAGCCUGACAUAUAGUAGGCACAUGAUAGAAAUGUACUGGAUACUUAAUGAAAAUCACUCGUCUGGACAGUCCUCAAAUGUGAGGUAGUCAGCUCUCAGCUUCACUCGCCAGCCUCCUGGCCACCAGAGUAGUGGUUAGAUUCGAAGACAGCCCACAAAAACCUGAGCCCCCAAUAUACCUGGUGACCUUGCCCCACAGGAAUCUCCAUUGCUACCAUGAAACCAGGGAGCAUUUUCAGGAGCAGUAACAGAAGCUUCCUGGGAGAGAGGAUUUCAGUGCUAUGAGGACAGGCAGUCUGUCAGUGCAUUUCCCAGGGACUGGGCCUGGCCUCCUGGCACACAACAUUCCUGCCUCCUCCUGACAACCUUGCUUCACCUCCACUGCUAGCUGCCUCUUUCAUAGGCUUCCAACCUCCCAGGCUCCAUCACCCCAGUCUCUCCCCUAAGCAGACAUAGUGCCCUCUGGUUUCCCCAGGGGCCACUGACCCUAAAGCUUAGGAGACAGGAAUCUGGCCUUGUCUGCCCCAAAGGUGAGCCUUUGGAGUUGCAGUGAGGGGAGGGAGAAUCCCAGCAAGUCUAAAGAGGGAAGAACAGAAGAGGGAAGGAAGAGCUAAGUGGAGAGGCUGGAGGGAUCAUCAUGAAUUGUUGCUAGAAGGCUUGUCUGUAUGCUGGUGGUGACCACUGAAUACUGUGGAACCUUUGAAGAUGUUUAUUUGAGUUUUGUUGUUGUUGUUUUUACCAGGGAUUGAACCCAGGGGCACUGCUUAACCGCUGAGCCUCAUCCCCAGCCCUUUAAUUUUUAUUUAGAGACAGGGACUUGCUGAGUUGCUUAUGGCCUCACUAAUUUGCUAAGGCUGACUUUGAACUUGUGAUCCUGCUUGCCUUAGCCUCCCUAGACGCUGGGAUGACAGGCAUACACUAGGAUAAGUCUCCCAGCUUAUUUGAGCCUUUGAUGAUGUUUAUUUGCAGGAAUAACUCUCCACUUGGUACCUGGAGAAAGAUUCCUGGUCCCUCUUUUUACUUACAGGGUACUUCUGGCCUAGAGCAGGGUAAAUAAACCACAGUCUAACCCCAAAUCACUUUAGUAUUGAAGAACCAAACCUUCCAAAGAUGUAAGAUAUGAAUAUUAGUAUGAAAUGAGGUUGAGAUGAUUUUUGACUGCAGAAUCCAGAAUCUCAAAUAUUGUCUUUAACUACCCACUUUGCAGCAAAGGUCUUCAAUGGCAAUACAUGCAUAGAAGAUACUGGCUGCAGAAAGUUCUUCAUCAACCUGAGCCUAUUUCCUUGUGAGCUAGACUCCAUGCGUAAACAAUUAUUUGUUCAGGUCAUGCAGUCUCUGAAGACUGACCAAAACCACCCAGAAAUGGCAACAUCUCAACAGCUGGUAUGUGCACCCCAGGCUUGAAAGCCCCAUCUAUGUCAAGGCUAGGACUUCUAGAGGCCUGGUUCUUGUGCCCCACAUUUGUCUUUUCAGAUGCAUGAAAGCAAAACACUUGAGAUGAACCUCUCCUCACAAAGCCCCACCUCUGCUCCGGAAGCACUAGACUUUGCAUAUGGUUAGAUAUGGGUUGGUUGGUUUUCAAUAGAUUUUCAAGACCGCAGAAUCCAGCACAUUGAUCAGCCUAUAUAUUCAUAUUAAACAAAGGAAAUAAAAGAACAAAAUUCAUGCAAUCAGAGGUAGCUGAGAAUCAUCAACAAAUGGUUUUUUUCAUUAACAUUUUUGAGUAGGUUAAUUUUUCCAUACAACUUAAUGAUAUAAUUUCCUAAUACAAUCC
This 2727-nucleotide long non-coding RNA is filed under the name Marmota monax (woodchuck). The record is from RNAcentral. Lineage: Eukaryota; Metazoa; Chordata; Mammalia; Rodentia; Sciuridae.